CAACUUUCAACAACGGAUCUCUUGGCUCUCGCAUCGAUGAAGAACGCAGCGAAAUGCGAUAAGUAAUGUGAAUUGCAGAAUUCAGUGAAUCAUCAAAUCUUUGAACGCACCUUGCGCUCCUUGGCAUUUUGAGGAGCAUGCCUGUUUGAGUGUCAUUA
RNAcentral lists this ribosomal RNA (158 nucleotides) under Amanita rimosa. Its description in RNAcentral is "5.8S ribosomal RNA". It matches the Rfam family "5.8S ribosomal RNA". From Rfam's summary of the family: 5.8S ribosomal RNA (5.8S rRNA) is a component of the large subunit of the eukaryotic ribosome. Lineage: Eukaryota; Fungi; Basidiomycota; Agaricomycetes; Agaricales; Amanitaceae. The record is from RNAcentral.